GUGGGGAAUAUUGGACAAUGGGCGCAAGCCUGAUCCAGCCAUGCCGCGUGAGUGAUGAAGGCCCUAGGGUUGUAAAGCUCUUUUACCUGGGAAGAUAAUGACGGUACCAGGAGAAUAAGCCCCGGCUAACUUCGUGCCAGCAGCCGCGGUAAUACGAAGGGGGCUAGCGUUGUUCGGAAUCACUGGGCGUAAAGAGCACGUAGGCGGAUCUUUAAGUCAGGGGUGAAAUCCCGAGGCUCAACCUCGGAACUGCCUUUGAUACUGGGGAUCUCGAGUCCGGGAGAGGUGAGUGGAACUGCGAGUGUAGAGGUGAAAUUCGUAGAUAUUCGCAAGAACACCAGUGGCGAAGGCGGCUCACUGGCCCGGAACUGACGCUGAGGUGCGAAAGCGUGGGGAGCAAACAGG
Molecule: ribosomal RNA, 405 nt
Filed under: uncultured Methylocella sp.
Lineage: Bacteria; Pseudomonadati; Pseudomonadota; Alphaproteobacteria; Hyphomicrobiales; Beijerinckiaceae
Description: bacterial SSU rRNA
Rfam family: Bacterial small subunit ribosomal RNA
Source: RNAcentral